Zonotrichia albicollis (white-throated sparrow) is the source of this 1067-nucleotide long non-coding RNA. NCBI's taxonomy places the organism in Eukaryota, Metazoa, Chordata, Aves, Passeriformes, Passerellidae. The record is from Ensembl.
GGCUCCUGGAGCUGCCACCAAACAAAUAAAGAAGGGUGAUUUUCCAGCAUGAGCCCAGUAAAUCUGUGCUUUUGGCCACUUCUGUGUUUAAUCUGGCUAAGGAGGGGAGCUGGGGGCUGCACUGCACCACUGAGUUCUCUGCUGGAUCUCGUGGCUCUGGGAAUUGAAGAACAAUGCUGGCAUUUGUUGUUUCUCUCAUAAAAUAGAUAAAUCAGCACUGUCUUGACAAAUCUCUUGAAAUAACUCACAAAUGGAUGGUUCCUCUGCAGGAACAAACACACUCUGAGGUCACUCUGCUCCUCUGCAUCUGCAGGCAUUCUGGGACAGCAAAAGGUAAAGAUUCAUUUGAUUUUAUACAAAUUUAAGGAAAAUCUCCAUAUUUUCAGUCUUUAAAUGAUCUCUGCAAUGCCAAGUCAUGGCUAUAACAAGGUCUGAUUGCUUUGCUGAUCAAAUCUCAUCUUAGCAGUGCUCUGAUGGAAAGAUAUUAAUGAGUUCUUGGCUGCUACUCUUUUUUCUGUCAGACAGGAAGAUAAACUGGAGCAGUUUAAUUGGGAAAUGGGCACUGGAGCAGCAGCAGCACGGAGUGUGGGGCACAGAUCCCAUCUCCUGUCUCUUGCCACUGGUACCUGGAGCAUUGUCCAACCUCUCUCUCCAGCAAUCCAGACAGAAGUAAGAGGAAAUGGAAUAAAUCAGCUCAGGCUGCUCUGGCCUUUCUGCAAGAACUCCACGGGCUGGCACAGCUCUGCAGCACAAGCAGCAGCUGGAGAGGCUCUUGCUGCUUCUGGGAAACACUGCAGUAACACAAAAUUCAGGCCAAGCCUGGAGCUCUGCAAUGGAACAGAUUCAAUUCCUGCCAUCAGAAGGAGGCAGAUUCCUGAGCUGCUGCUGAGUCUGGGAGGGGAAUGAGGAGGCCACCCCAGUGCAGGAGGAGAAAUAAGAGACUGCUGAUGAGUUGCAUGGAAAGGUCAGAAUUGACAGCAACUGUAAAGAAGAACAAAACAGCUUUAAAACCUCAUCCCUUUCUGAUGAUAAAUAAAAAGCAUCAUCUCAAUUAUUUUGCUCUUCCG